GGGGCCGUAAUGGUUUCGACAGGCUGGUAAAAGCCACCCCGUGAAGCAGGUCGAGAGGGAGUCCACUCUCGGAAAUCAAGGCUCAACAAAAUAGUAAUUGCGAACAACAUCGUUCCUUUCGCUCGUAAGGCAGCUGCUGUUGCCUAAACAAAACCUCUAACUAGGUUCGAGCACUCAUCGUCUGACACCGUUAAGGGCGAUGGGUAAAACCCCAACGGUUGCUCGCUUGAACCAUCUCUGGUUGGUCAAGCGAUAAGACUUAACCAGAGCUCCCCUUCAUCUGGGAUAAAGGAUGAACCCCGUUGCGUCGGGUCAACGCAACUAAGCCUGUGAAUGAGCGGACGGUCAAUAGCCAGUCUGGACAGCAGUUCGAUUCUGCUCGGCUCCAUUU
This 391-nucleotide transfer-messenger RNA is filed under the name Halothece sp. PCC 7418. It matches the Rfam family "transfer-messenger RNA". From Rfam's summary of the family: Bacterial tmRNA, also known as 10Sa RNA or SsrA, is named for its dual tRNA and mRNA-like properties. Its role is to liberate the mRNA from a stalled ribosome. Lineage: Bacteria; Bacillati; Cyanobacteriota; Cyanophyceae; Chroococcales; Halothecacae. The record is from Rfam by way of RNAcentral. RNAcentral also lists the same sequence under 1 other name.